RNAcentral lists this ribosomal RNA (301 nucleotides) under uncultured bacterium. RNAcentral's name for it is "partial 16S ribosomal RNA". It matches the Rfam family "Bacterial small subunit ribosomal RNA", at positions 509 to 809 of the family's 1533-position model. The record is from RNAcentral.
CAGCCGCCGCGGGAAAACGUAGGUGGCAAGCGUUGUCCGGAAUUAUUGGGCGUAAAGGGCUCACAGGCGGUUUCUUAAGUCUGAUGUGAAAGCCCCCGGCUCAACCGGGGAGGGUCAUUGGAAACUGGGAAACUUGAGUGCAGAAGAGGAGAGUGGAAUUCCACGUGUAGCGGUGAAAUGCGUAGAGAUGUGGAGGAACACCAGUGGCGAAGGCGACUCUCUGGUCUGUAACUGACGCUGAGGAGCGAAAGCGUGGGGAGCGAACAGGAUUAGAUACCCGAGUAGUCCCUGUCUCUUAUAU